UCCCUAGUGAUCCAGUGGUUAGGAUUCUGUGCUUCCACUACUAGAGGCCCAGGUUCGAUCCCUGGUCAGGGAA
RNAcentral lists this transfer RNA (73 nucleotides) under Ovis aries (sheep). It matches the Rfam family "tRNA". From Rfam's summary of the family: Transfer RNA (tRNA) molecules are approximately 80 nucleotides in length. Their secondary structure includes four short double-helical elements and three loops (D, anti-codon, and T loops). The record is from Rfam by way of RNAcentral. Lineage: Eukaryota; Metazoa; Chordata; Mammalia; Artiodactyla; Bovidae.